This 533-nucleotide ribosomal RNA is filed under the name Cryptorhynchinae gen. sp. ARC5199. Its description in RNAcentral is "partial 16S large subunit ribosomal RNA". The stretch from base 383 to 533 matches the Rfam family "Bacterial large subunit ribosomal RNA", at positions 2473 to 2625 of the family's 2925-position model. The record is from RNAcentral. Lineage: Eukaryota; Metazoa; Arthropoda; Insecta; Coleoptera; Curculionidae.
GGCGUAUUGAUUAUGAUUUUAGGUCAGACCUGCUCAAUGAUUAUAAUUAAAUAGCUGCGGUAUUUUGACCGUGCAAAGGUAGCAUAAUCAUUAGUUUUUUAAUUGAAAGCUGGUAUGAAGGGUUUAAUAAAAAAUUAAUUGUCUCUAUUUAAAUUUUAUAAAUUUAUUUUUAAGUGAAAAAGCUUAAAUUUUUAUAAAAGACGAGAAGACCCUAUAGAGUUUUAUAAAUAAAAAGAUAAAAUAUAUUUGGAAUUGAAAGAUUUAUUUUUUUUAUUUAUUUAAUUGGGGUGAUUGAAAAAUUAAUUAAACUUUUUUUAAAUAAAACAUUUAUUUUUGAUUGAUUGAUCUCAUGUUUUGGAUUAAAAAAUAAAAUUACCUUAGGGAUAACAGCGUAAUUUUUCUUAGAGUUCUUAUUGAAAGAAAAGUUUGCGACCUCGAUGUUGGAUUAAAAAAAAUUAUUGGUGAAGAAGCUAAUAAAUUAGGUCUGUUCGACCUUUAAAAUUUUACAUGAUCUGAGUUUAAACCGGUGUGAG